GUCCAGGUAAUAGAUCUUUUGCAGCUGCCACAACCAUUUGUGCUGCAUGCUCUAACUGUCUUGAUUUGGAUUUUGCCUCCUGACUUGGACCCUGAAAACUGACUUGGACCUGACUACAAAACUCCUUGGCUAUUUCUAACCUCAGGUUUCCCUCUGCUCUGACUCUGGCCCUGACUGCCCUUGUUGGGAUCCUGAGACACAGCUAGCCGAAUCAGCUACACAUCAGCACCAUCAUUGGACCAGAAGAGGACUUUAAAAAAAAAAAUCAGAUUUCCUAGCACGCAGGUAAAACUCCCAAUGAAAUCAUUGGAGCCUUCCAUGAGUAACAGUUCAGGAUCAAGCCCAAGAGAAAAAUACCAUUAAGGCACAAGAAGUUGGUCUGUUGUAACUGACUCAAAUGAACAAAUCAUCAAGAGAACUGACUCAACUGUUCUACUUCCUGUGAAGGCCUUUUCCUUUGUUGUUAAGGUUCUCUACAAAUGAUCAUACUCCAAGAUUCUAUGCUAACAUUUGCCCAUCUGCAGCUGAUGCAAGGUAUGACUUUAUAUCUCACUAAACACACUGAAACCCCUAUUCCUUCCCUUCUGCCCCCCAAAAUAGAGUAAAUACCAAAAAGGACAAACACUAGGCUUCUUAAAUAAAGCAGGGUCUGAACUUUACCUUUUCUCAGACAAAACUUCUAAGUAAAUGGCUGUACUAAUCUAAUUCCCAUUUGUUUUGCUUAAUGCACCCUUUGUAAAAGGUUAGAAUUCCAUCUGCCUGUUCUUUCAUCAGAGAUUCUGAGAAGUCCCAGUUGCAGAUGUGGCAGCCCCAGUGCAAAUAUCAACAGCUUAAACAUUCUCACUUCCAGUCUAAAUGUGAGAGAUUUUUAUCUUGAAGGGGAAAAAAAAUCUGUCCCAACCUAGCACUUUGUGAGUGUCUCUAUAGUUCCAUAAAUAAAAGCAUGGCAUAUGGUGUACACAGCUGUAGAUAACCUUGUAAGAGCCUUGAUAGACAGAUUUCCUCAUCUUAACAUCUCCCAAGUAUAAUAACCCAUAUUCACUCACCUCUUCUCCCAGACAGCUUCUGAAGAACACAUAUCAAAGACUGAACUUCCAAUCUGAGGGGUGACCUGACUCACCUACCACACUGUAGCGCCAGUGGAAAUGUUUUUAAAAGACUGUACUACGGAGAAACCCUCUUAGAGGGGAGUCCUAAAACUCCAUGUCUGCUGAAGUCAGAUGGGCUUUAAUGUUUUCAGUAAACUGUGAUGUCACUUGCAGAAUUGUAAUCUGCACAAUUAAUAAACCUCAUUAAUAUACUGACGGUAUAAGGGAUAACCAGUCCUUUGGGUUAGAGGCAAGCAGCCAGCUGAUUAGCCCUGUCUGCUGCACCUGAGAAAGUGCUUGGACUUAAUUAGCUGAGCUUUGUAAAAAAAGGGCAGCAGGAAAUAAAGAGGGAAAUUGUAACACCCCCAGAAAGCUGUGGGAUGCCAGGCUCCUAAUGGACUGUUAGAGUUACUGUAGAAAGGAAUUACUUGAGAAACCUAAUGGACAAAAUGGAGAGCAUGUGAAGUUCUUUAUUGCUGAGGCUCUGAGGUAAGAGCCAGGACAUUUGGGGUUGCUUAAGUUAUGAGUGUGAGAGACAGACUUGUCCUGCACAGACUUUGAGGGAAGAGUCUGAAGUUCUGAUUCUUCUUGUUAAGAAGGCUUAAAAUAAAACAACUAACCCUGCUGGAAAUGGAUUCCCCGAUAGAGCUCAGACAAAAUUGCCCCAGGGAGUGAGCUGGCUCAGUAGGUGCCCAACCUGGUCUGGUAGGAUAUGGGUGCUAUAAGACAGGACUUAAUCUUUUAUACUCAGUGCAUAAGUAAGUUUAAUUUCUAUUCAUAGUUAUACAGUAUAAGCCAGAAGUAAUGGCACUAGUGUCAGUGAAACAGAGCAAGAGAAUGUAAGACACAGCACUGCAUGAUCUUGCUUUUGCAGUUGGCUUACACAGAUUGCAGUGAAAUUCCACCAAUAUAAAGACACUUCCUUGACCAAUCUGAGAUGGCGCCAAUGUGCUGCUGAAAACAAACAGCUCUGCUGCACACCUUGAACCUGACUCUGAUCUCUCUUUCCCUCAAAUAAACCAUGAAUAAAUCCCUUUAAAUUAAUAAAACAGUAUAAAACUGG
This is a long non-coding RNA of Dermochelys coriacea (leatherback sea turtle), 2151 nucleotides long. RefSeq lists it as uncharacterized. The record is from RefSeq and is a predicted model, not a curated record. The transcript is spliced from 3 exons. Lineage: Eukaryota; Metazoa; Chordata; Testudines; Dermochelyidae.